Non-coding RNA from Microcebus murinus (gray mouse lemur), 2316 nucleotides. The record is from RefSeq and is a predicted model, not a curated record. Lineage: Eukaryota; Metazoa; Chordata; Mammalia; Primates; Cheirogaleidae.
UACCUGGCAUGUGGUCCCCGGCCCCCCAAUUUAAGUCACCUCCUGCUCUAGUCGGCUGGGUCCAGCGAGCCCCAGAGCGCCUGGCCAGGCAGCCUAGCGCCAGGCCUGGGUGUGGGGACUGCUGGCAGCCCGCUUUCCUGAGGCGGACGGAGUGGCCCCAACGGACAGCUGUAGAGCGUGACGCGGUAAGUUGCUCAGGUCCGAGCAGCCUGGCAGAGGACGCCUCCCGAGCGUCGCUAGCUCGCGUAGCAGCGGGGAUGCCGAAGGUCCUCUUCGAGACGCCCAGGGACAGGUUUGUGGCUGACAGCCUGAGCCCCGAGUCCCGCACGCACCCGCCUUUUCAGGACGCCGAGUCCUGCCGGCGCGUUGCAUCUUGGGAGUUGUAGUCUUCGCGGGCUGAAGGCGGGGCCGCCACUCGUGGUGAGCGGCUAUUGGGUGGCGCUGGCGCGCACGGCCCCCUGCCUUUGCACACCGUUCCCUCCUCUCAACGACGCGUCGCAGAGCCUCGAUGGGCUCUGCCCCGACGUUCGUCAGGGAUUGGAGGGGAGGCGGGACCCAGGGGCUCAGCUGCCCGCGGAUUGGUGGGGUGCAAAGGAGGUGGGCCAGCGCAUGCGCUUAAGCCGGGGUCCGGCCGGGCCGCAGGGGCCAGUGCCAAGAUGUCUACGGCGGCGGUGCCGGAGCUGAAGCGAAUCAGCCGGGUGGAGGCGAUGCGCCUGGGCCCGGGCUGGAGCCACUCGUGCCACGCCAUGCUGUACGCCGCCAACCCCGGGCAGCUCUUCGGCCGCAUCCCCAUGCGGUUCUCGGUGCUGAUGCAGAUGCGCUUCGACGGGCUGCUGGGCUUCCCCGGGGGCUUCGUGGACCGGCGCUUCUGGUCGCUGGAGGACGGACUGAACCGGGUGCUGGGCCUGGGCCUGGGCUCCCUGCGCCUCACCGAGGCCGACUACCUGAGCUCGCACCUGACCGAGGGCCCGCACCGCGUCGUGGCGCACCUGUACGCGCGGCAGCUGACGCUGGAGCAGCUGCACGCCGUGGAGAUCAGCGCGGUGCAUUCGCGCGACCACGGCCUGGAGGUGGGGCCGCCGCCCGGGCCCCGCCCCCCGCCCCGGGGUUUGGCUCUGGCCCCGUGGAAGGCACCGAUGGGUGCUGGGCCUUGUGCGGGUCCCACUGUACACCCAGAAGGACCGAGUCGGCGGCUUUCCCAACUUCCUGAGCAACGCCUUCACCAGCACUGCCAAGUACCAGCUCCUCUUCGCCCUCAAGGUGCUCAACAUGAUGCCCGAGGAGAAGCUGGCUGAGGCUGUGGCUGCAGCCACAGAGAAGCAGAAGAAGGCCCUGGAGAAGCUGCUCCCAGCUUCUUCCUGAGGUGGUUCCUGUGCUAGCUGUCGCCCUCCCCACUGGCAGCCAUCUCUGUGCCCAUCGGCUGAGAAGACUUGGUUUUGGGAGUCCUGUGAAAGUGUGUCUUCUAGCUUGUCUCUGUGUUUGCCUUUCUGACUGCAUGGGGCAGACAGGCAUCUCAUCAUCUCCACUGUCCCAAGCAGUCAUUAGGCGGCAGCUGGGCCAGCUGGGACCCAGCCCAUCCUCUCAGGUUGGUCAGUGGGCAGUCUGGGCACACUGGGCCUGGCUCUUCAGGCUCAGGACAUUCGUGCCCACCGAAAAGCUCAAACUCUCCUUAGCACGCGUCUCACCACAUAGCGCCCCGUCGUCCUAGGGGUAGGUGCCCAGCUCUCAGGCCAUUCGGAAGACGGUUUGCUCUGGUGGAGGCGGCUGUCCAGGCCAGCUCAUCCCUGCAUCCUUCCCGAGCCAGCCCCAGGGUCUGGGGAAGAGCCAGCUUAGGGAUGGUCGGGGCCUCAGGGACCCAGCUACGUAUGGAGUUGUUCAAGGAGAAAAAGACAAUAAAUGAAGCCGCUCUUCAGCUGCUGUUUGGUUUUUGGUUUUAGACAGCAGCCCAGGGCUGGGCUGGUGAGGGGUGUCCUUCCUUUUCCUGGAUGUGGAGGUUGGGCCCAAGAGGGGUUCUGGGACCCCAGGUGCUGGGUACUGCUAGGAGUCGAACCAACUCAGGCCUCCUGUCUCAGAUUCGGGACACAUGGAGUCACUGCCCUGGCCAGAGGUGUCCAUGUGUCCGCCUGUGUUUACUGGGGCACUCCCAGCCUGAGCACCUGGGCUGGCAGCCUGGCUGGGGGCUUCUAUGCUGCGGUGCCAGUGUCAGGCUCUUGUACUAGAUCCUCUACGCUUUGAAAACCUGCCUUUCCUCAUUCUCAGAACAGUCUGCAAGCAGCUCCAGGGGACGGUCUGGAAGCACAGGCUUAGUAUGCAGAA